CUAAAUUAUUUUUGCCGUUUUUGUGUUCGCAAUGUUUUUCAUCAGUGAGGAGACCGCGCGGUUCGAAUCGUGCGCUCUGUAGCAGCUAACUGAGGGAAUUACAUGAACAGGUGGGGUAUACUCGUCGAAAAAACUUUCCAAGCGCUGAUGGGGUUUCCGCUGACGGUUUGCGGAUUUUUUACCAGGAAGCGCUGGUCUUAUCAGUUAAUAAUGACUAAUGCCGAAGAGAUGGGACGGUUAUGGUAAUUAGAACUGGGCAUAUACCAUGCAAUUCGUGUACCGUAUUGCACCUUCACGUGACGAGAAUUAAGCGUUUUGAGUAAUACUUACCCGGAUAUUUAAAUAGGACGUCUCGUGGUGGUUUUGUAUGUCGUUAAAAAUUUCCUCAGAGCCACUGUAUACUUUUAUAUACUUGUAAUCGGGGUAACUUUUGUAGACCAUAUUGGAGCGAUUCCACUCACAUUACUUUCAGUCUUCUCAACAUUUUCAAUGUUACGCUAGAUGCAGUUGAAUAAAACUUUCUCCUUUGAAACGCUGUUGCCAGAUACCAUCUCAAAUAAAUAACGCUGGAGCUACGAAAUAACGAAAAUUAUAUUAUCUCUGCCGCAAUUAUUCUAAACGCUGAACAAAUAUAUGGGUAAAUAAUAUAAAUAACUUUGUUUAUUUAGGUGCGUCAUCUCCAUUGAACCUUUCUCGUUUUGUCAAAAAAUGGGAGUAAAAUAUAUUUGUGUCUCGUUUUGUAUUCCGUUGUAAAAUAAUCAGUUAGUAUAAGCUGUAGUUGCUUAUUACUUUGAUCUCUGAGGCGAUUUGGUUGCAUUUUAUGAGCGUUUUAUGUUAAUUUUUAUUUGUUGGUCGCGAAAUGGUAAUGGAUUUGUUCUUCCAUUUAAAAACAUUUCUUUAAAACGCAUAACACUUGGCUUAGUUAUUCCUAACAACGUAGGAGCCAGAAUAUUCAAUAAAGUAGGUAGGUUAACUGGCACAAAAGUAUACUUGAAGAUACUUUUUUUAAAUUAGUUCAUUUUAUGACGUAGUUCAAGGCAAAAUCACGAAAACUGCACAGAAUGGAUUUGUAACUUAGGUAAUAAACCGAAUACUCUUUACUUUUUAGAUUUACUUAAAUAUUUUGGCAGUGGUAUUAAAAAAAAUUAGAGUUGGUUGGGUUUUAGCACUCUAGAUAGAAAAAAACGGGUUUCAAAUGUGGUUUCUUUAUCAAUGGAUGCAGAAAUGACGUCUGACCUUUCCUCUGAUCGUGAAAGUGCCACUAAAAUAAAAAUUCUCAAACGUAGCCAAGGAAAAAAAAUUCAAAAUGUCCUAAAAAUCAAAACGGUUUAAGUAUUUGUGUCUUGAAAUGUUAUUGUUUAGUGUGAAGAGACUACGUUUGUACUUCAUUUAUUUAUAUUUUUAUUGCAAUACGGUGCUUUAUUGUUACACUUUUGACGCAACUGGGACAGUGAAUUAAAACAAUAUUAAUGAGAGAUUUUUUUAUUCAGAUAAACAUGUCACACAGUCAUAAAUUUUGCUGAAACAUCUCAACAUUUUACAAACUUCAGGUAAAAAAAUAUACACUUUAGGUCCUGACGUAAUAAAAUAAUACCUCAUGUACAUAAAAAGGGGACAAUUAUAUAAAGAAAAUUAACUCACAUGAUAGAAAAACCGUAUUUCCAAACUUAUUACAACAUAAAUGAAUAACAAACGUGGCACCCAAUAAGAAUAACGAACAUUUUCUCACUUUUAACGAAUUAAUAAUUAAAUGAUCUGAUGUCCUAUAAGUAAACAUUUUUAACAACAGAAUUACUCUGUUUUCUUAGAUUUGGCUUCCCUGCCAUUAUUGUGAUACUGUCCCUUCCUCUUUCUGCCUUUUCCGAACUUGGCCUUUUCCCUCAUUUUCGUAACCGCUUCUGCAGUCUUCUUCAAAUAUUCCUCCUCUUCAGUCCCUUCCAAGGCCUUAAGUUUCAACUUUAUGUCGCCGAUUUCCAAUUCACCAUCUGUGAGUUUCUUUAAAAAUUCCACAGCGGCAUUUUCCGCCGAACACCUGAAGUGUCCCUCAAGAUCCCCUUUACUGAAGUCUAUAUACGAAAUUGUGACGCUGUCAUCAACCUCUUUGACCUUUUCCUUAAUUUCUUCGCGUGUCAGUGACUUGCCUUCGGGGAUAUUUGAAAAAUAGAUCGUAGCCCCUUUGGGGUACUCAAGCUGCUUGGCCUUUUCAUCAAUUUUCGCUUGCUUUUUAUCCUUUUUAGACUUGACGCGUUCUUCAUACGCUUUCUUCUUUUCGGCAAAGUAAUCACUCUGCCAUUUCCGGAUCAGUUCAGUGUCUUUAUACUUGAGACUUUCAAGCUCAAUAAACUUCUUGCAAGCUUCCUUGUCCUUGAAAAUUAUAAAACACGAUCCCUUGAAGGUAUGGUCUUUAUUGGACCUGCGAUGACACGAUUCGAUGGGGCCAUGCUGCUCCAUAAAGCUCAUUAUGUCGUUCAAAGUCUCGUCCAGAGGGAAACCUUUAGCGUAAGCUGCAACAUAUCCCGAUUAUUCCACCAAACACUGCAAACUGCACCUCUGCCUACCUGUGCGCUCCAUUAGCUCCUUUUUUCGAGCAUCGUUCAACUCUGGCAAGGGCAAAUCCGGAUUUCUCCGUAUUUUUUUCUUGUCUUCACUAACCUCAACCAGGCCAUUUUCGGCCUUUUCCACGGCUGCGGCUAUCACUGCAGGGUCUUCGGAAAGACUGGCAAGGCGCUUGAAAGUCAGUAACACCUCCAGAGAUAUCCAACCCUCGUCUUCUUUCAGCUUUUCUUGCAUGAAUUUAUCACGUGGCAAAUUGAUGU
Tribolium castaneum (red flour beetle) is the source of this 2816-nucleotide long non-coding RNA. RefSeq lists it as uncharacterized. The record is from RefSeq and is a predicted model, not a curated record. Lineage: Eukaryota; Metazoa; Arthropoda; Insecta; Coleoptera; Tenebrionidae. The transcript is spliced from 2 exons.